UCAUCAGGUAGGAUAAUUCUUACUCAUUCCUCUAUACAGAGGAAAGAUCAAACAUAAUGAUUGGACUUUGCAUGAUUCGCAAUUAAUGUCUUUGUGUAAUAGGGUUUGCAACACCCUAAUAUCUAUGGUCUGAA
Small nucleolar RNA from Suncus etruscus (white-toothed pygmy shrew), 134 nucleotides. RefSeq annotates it as U8 small nucleolar RNA. The record is from RefSeq and is a predicted model, not a curated record. NCBI's taxonomy places the organism in Eukaryota, Metazoa, Chordata, Mammalia, Eulipotyphla, Soricidae. The transcript has a single exon.